UUAGGAAUCUUGGACAAUGGACGAAAGUCUGAUCCAGCCAUGCCGCGUGAGCGAUGAAGGCCUUCGGGUUGUAAAGCUCUUUAGCCGAUGAAUAUAAUGACUGUAGUCGGAAAAUAAGCCCCGGCUAACUUCGUGCCAGCAGCCGCGGUAAUACGAAGGGGGCGAGCGUUGUUCGGAAUCACUGGGCGUAAAGCGUGCGUAGGCGGUUAUAAAAGUUAGAAGUGAAAGCCCAGGGCUUAACCUUGGAAUUGCUUUUAAUACUGUAUAACUCGAAUAUCGGAGAGGAGAGCGGAAUUGUCAGUGUAGCAGUGAAAUGCGUAGAUAUUGACAGGAACACCAGUGGCGUAAGCGGCUCUCUGGACGAUUAUUGACGCUGAGGCACGAAAGCGUGGGGAUCAAACAGG
Molecule: ribosomal RNA, 404 nt
Filed under: uncultured bacterium
Lineage: Bacteria
Description: bacterial SSU rRNA
Rfam family: Bacterial small subunit ribosomal RNA
Source: RNAcentral